CGUUCUAGUCACCUAAUUUUCAUGUUAAUUGUGUACUUUAUUAAAUGAAAACUUCAAAAUCAAAGACUUUGCUCAAAAUGUCGUAUGGAAAACAUUGUAUGGUGAAGAACUGUGGAAACUUGCUGUUUGGGAUUCUUCAAAUAUAAGUUUUUUAAAUUUAUCGAAGAAAAUGGAAACGUAAGAAUUGAAACUCGUACAAUGGGACUCGGAUGUUGAUUGAUUUUUAUUUUCAGUACUCUGAAGUGGAUAGAAUUUUGUGGGCGUCAAGACAUUAACUUGAGUAAAAGCUACAUCAUGUGCAGUGAACAUUUUACCGAAGAUUAAAAUGUUAGGCACUAUAAUCUUUGCAUUUUACUUUAUAUCAAUUUGAAGCUUUUCAUCCACGUAAGUUGCUGUAUGCAGGAACCAUCCCAUGCAUGAAAGGGCCACCAUAGGAACCACAUGCGAUGGAGGGCGAGCAGUUUGAAACUGAUACAUCGAAUACGGAUGAAAGCAUUCCUUUCCUUUCAUGGAGGAGCCACAUGAGAUGGAAAGAGAGCAGAUUGAAAGUGUUAUGACAAAUACUGAUGAUAUUCUUCCGAGUGACCUGAAAGAAGUUCUCACACCCUGCAGAGUACUUCCAAGUCUUUCUCCAGAAGUGAUAGAAAGAUCAGAAAACUGAAAACAACAAUCAACUCCUUUCGAUGCAAAGUAUAUAGUAUAUUGAAUAUUUGUUCAUAUAGAUUUCUGCUAAAAAUUGU
Coccinella septempunctata (seven-spotted ladybird) is the source of this 740-nucleotide long non-coding RNA. RefSeq lists it as uncharacterized. The transcript has 3 exons. The record is from RefSeq and is a predicted model, not a curated record. Lineage: Eukaryota; Metazoa; Arthropoda; Insecta; Coleoptera; Coccinellidae.